Sciurus carolinensis (gray squirrel) is the source of this 1298-nucleotide long non-coding RNA. RefSeq lists it as uncharacterized. NCBI's taxonomy places the organism in Eukaryota, Metazoa, Chordata, Mammalia, Rodentia, Sciuridae. The record is from RefSeq and is a predicted model, not a curated record. The transcript is spliced from 3 exons.
CAGAUAGGAUGGCUUUCCCUGAAGCCAGUGGACAGGAGUGGAUGGCCAAAAAAAAUUGGGCUCCAGAGAGAAUAGAAAGGUCAGCUGGAUGCUGGACAGGCCAGCUACAGUGCAGACACUUCUUGAGGAUUGUAUCUCAGAAGGAUAUCAGGAAUUUUCUACUGGACACCAAAAGCUAUUCGGCCAUCUUCCUUCCUUCCAAUCUGCUACAUUUGGGUCCGAGAGUCUUCUUAUAGUCUUCCUAUUUAUCACCAAGGGAUUUAAAUAAUUUGCAUUCAACUUUUCUAAAUUCGAGACAGCUACAUAGGUGAUUGGCAAGAUUCUUCAUUAAUAACAUCUGGAAAUUUCAAUUUGAAGAUACAGGACUCCAGGAAUAGAUCACCUGAAAGAUAAGUUGAAUGUGUUUUCUUAUUUCUCUCAUGUUCAAUAUACAGAGAGAACUUCCACCAGAUUUAAUUGCCUCCCCCUUUCAUUGAUAUCUGGCUCCUAUAAAGAGAUUCAAGACAGGAAGAUGCAAAGAUUUUUAAAAUGUGUGAUGAAAAAGCAUACAAAAUACAUUUUUCUUUAUUAUUAGAGUCCUCCGAUGCCUUUAAGUUGUUUUAAAAUUUUCUAAGUGCUUAGUCUCUAUUUAUGUCCUUACUUUAUCAUGGAUGAGUAGCAAGUUGAUCACAGAUGGCCACAAGUCCCUUGGCUGCACUUUGAACAGUACUUUAAUAGAUUGACUUCCUAAUGUCAAUCUUCUCUUUCUACCUCACUCACAGCCUGAAGACCCUUAGCUAUAGAAAUAGCUCUUUUACUAGAUAAUGAUACUCAACAAUUUUUAAAUGUUUAACAUACUUCAAGUACUGCUUGAAGUAGUUUGUCUAAUGUAAACUUUUUUUAUUUUAGUAAAAUACAUAUGAAAAAAAUUUUACUAUCUUAACGAUUUAAAAAACAUCUGAUGAAAAGGAUCAUGACUAUUUUCAAGAAAAGUUUAUAAAGACUAGAACCCAGAUUGAGCUAUUAUAGGCCAACAAACACAGAAAGCAAACCUGUGAUGAGUCAGAGUAGCUAUAUUUCCAGGAAAGGAGUAUUUUUUGGAAUUGAAGAUAUCCCAGGAGGGCUUUUUAAAACCAAAUUGACAUCAUAAUUUAUAAAAAGCUUUCUAUCAUGAUGUUUUUAACAUUAGAGCAUAAAUAUUACUAUGUAAAACACAAUUUUUGUUUUUAUAUAUUUUUAUAUGACUGCAGUGGAUGCAUUUUGUAUUUUUAAAACUUUCUCAUGUUUAUUUUUUUUAAGCUGGAAUUAUAGGUGUGUGC